CCCUAAAUAUAUUUUUUCACACACAAAAAUAGAACAAAAGAUGAAAAAAAAUACAAAAGGCGAAUUAGAAUCAAAGGAUAUGGCUCCGACAAGGAGGAAGAGGACCAAGCAGAGGAGAAAGGCGAGGGCUGGUUUUACCAGCAUCAAGAUCAACAAGGAGGAGUGAGUCUUGACGCUCCUUAAUUAUGAAAAUUUUGAAUAAUUGGGAAUAACUCCCAGAUGGAGAAGAACAAACAUCUAAAAUUUUGUGUAGCAAGGGGAAAGAAUCAAAGGAUCAUCUAAAAUUUGCCCGUGAUGACCUUUUGGGCAUAAAUAUUCCAGGUUUGUUAUUUGUUUUUUUUAAGUCUGUGGGAGGAUAUGCUAAGCUGAAGAGUUGUGCUUAUUGUUUCUCUAUUGGUCACUGGGAGUGGGAGGACUGUGAAUAUUGUCCUAGACCCAAGGACGUCGUCUUUGAGAAAGAUGAAUACUUAGAUGGGGAUGGGAUUUCCUCAGAGUGAGGAUGAGGAUGCAUUUCGACCCCUUAAAUAGUGCUCCAUGGGGACUAUAAUAUACCAAAGGCAACUCACCAAAUCCAUCUUCAGGUCCCCUAAUUGUGUCAUUUGCUAGGGCCUUCCACAACUCUAAUGUAUUAGUUUUGUGCCAGGUUUAAGCAUGACGACAAUUGUUAUAUAAUAACUACGACUCCCAAAUCCAUUUUCUGUUUUAUUAAUUCUGAGUCUUUUAAUGUAUCAGUGGCCAUCAAUUUUUAUGCCUUUUAGAAUUCUCAGUACAUUUUCUUAGUUUUGUGUGUUUUGAGUAGACGGCUAUAUAAGGGCCAAUAUUAUGUAUGAAGAGAUCGGUGGUGCAGCCUAAUGUAGUGCUAUUUUGCUUUUCUCA
Long non-coding RNA from Rosa chinensis, 876 nucleotides. RefSeq lists it as uncharacterized. The record is from RefSeq and is a predicted model, not a curated record. Lineage: Eukaryota; Viridiplantae; Streptophyta; Magnoliopsida; Rosales; Rosaceae. The transcript is spliced from 2 exons.